Long non-coding RNA from Vigna angularis (adzuki bean), 329 nucleotides. RefSeq lists it as uncharacterized. The transcript has 3 exons. Lineage: Eukaryota; Viridiplantae; Streptophyta; Magnoliopsida; Fabales; Fabaceae. The record is from RefSeq and is a predicted model, not a curated record.
ACCAGUUGCCCUUCUCUCUUCUGUAACUCAUCUUCUUCUUCUCCGAUUCACUUUCCAGAACCAUAGGAACGUUCGUCCUGCUGUGAUCUUUCAUUUGGACCGAACAGAACUUGGAUCGGAACUGAUUUACGUGGGAACUGUUGAGCGAAGCCUGGGUGUAAGACGUGGUUAGAGGAAAACCUAAAAUCUUGUUAUUGGAAGUUCACUGCUAUCCAGAUGGUGGUGCAUCCCUUGAGCAAAUGCUGGAAGAAGAAAAUUUGGAUGAAACAAAUCUGGUGGAAGUUGAUGUGAAGGCCGAGCCUUAGAGCGCUCGUUAGAAUAGAUCUGUG